GUAGCGUGAAGGAUGACUGCCUAUGGGUUGUAAACUUCUUUUAUAAGGGAAUAAGUGCGGGACGUGUCCCGUUUUGUAUGUACCUUAUGAAUAAGGAUCGGCUAACUCCGUGCCAGCAGCCGCGGUAAUACGGAGGAUCCGAGCGUUAUCCGGAUUUAUUGGGUUUAAAGGGUGCGUAGGCGGCCUUUUAAGUCAGCGGUGAAAGUCUGUGACUCAACCAUAGAAUUGCCGUUGAAACUGGGGGGCUUGAGUAUGUUUGAGGCAGGCGGAAUGCGUGGUGUAGCGGUGAAAUG
Molecule: ribosomal RNA, 293 nt
Filed under: uncultured bacterium
Lineage: Bacteria
Description: partial 16S ribosomal RNA
Rfam family: Bacterial small subunit ribosomal RNA
Source: RNAcentral